AGGUCCUCCAGCACCCUACACAGAGAAACAGAAGCUCAUUAGAACCGAAAAAGAUACCAAAUACCAUUGUUUUUCAACAAGUCAAACAGACUUGUUGAACAAAAGUCGCCAUGGAACAAAGGCCAUUGUUUCAAAUCAAGAAAAAAUAGAGAAUUUUAAGGAACACCCAGAUCAAAAAUCAAACAAAAAAAUGCUUCUUGAUACCAUGAUCCUCCUGUUUCUAGGCU
Molecule: unclassified non-coding RNA, 227 nt
Filed under: Hevea brasiliensis (rubber tree)
Lineage: Eukaryota; Viridiplantae; Streptophyta; Magnoliopsida; Malpighiales; Euphorbiaceae
Source: RNAcentral